ACGGUCCUAAGGUAGCGAAAUUCCUUGUCGGGUAAGUUCCGACCUGCACGAAUGGCAUAACGAUGGCCACACUGUCUCCUCCUGAGACUCAGUGAAGUUGAAGUGUUUGUGAUGAUGCAAUCUCCCCGCGGCUAGACGGAAAGACCCCAUGAACCUUUACUGCAGCUUUGCAUUGGACUUUGAACCGAUCUGUGUAGGAUAGGCGGGAGCCUGUGAAACCACAACGCCAGUUGUGGCGGAGGCGUCCUUGAAAUACCGCCCUGAUUUGUUUGAGGUUCUAACCUGGGACAGUCAUCCUGUCCGGGGACCGUGCAUGGUAGGCAGUUUGACUGGGGCGGUCUCCUCCUAAAGGGUAACGGAGGAGUGCGAAGGUACGCUAGGCACGGUCGGAAAUCGUGCUGAUAGUGCAAUGGCAAAAGCGUGCUUGACUGCGAGACCCACAAGUCGAGCAGAUACGAAAGUAGGUCAUAGUGAUCCGGUGGCUCUGCAUGGAAGGGCCAUCGCUCAACGGAUAAAAGGUACUCUGGGGAUAACAGGCUGAUACCGCCCAAGAGUUCAUAUCGACGGCGGUGUUUGGCACCUCGAUGUCGGCUCAUCUCAUCCUGGGGCUGUAGCCGGUCCCAAGGGUAUGGCUGUUCGCCAUUUAAAGAGGUACGUGAGCUGGGUUUAAAACGUCGUGAGACAGUUUUGUCCCUAUCUGCCGUGGGCGCUGGAAGAUUGACGGGGGCUGCUCCUAGUACGAGAGGACCGGAGUGGACUCACCUCUGGUGUACCGGUUGUCACGCCAGUGGCACCGCCGGGUAGCUAUGUGGGGAAAGGAUAACCGCUGAAAGCAUCUAAGCGGGAAACCUGCCUGAAGAUAAGUCUUCCUGGAGGCUUGACCUCCCUGAAGAGUCGUUCGAGACCAGGACGUUGAUAGGUCGGGUGUGCAAGCGCUGCGAGGCGUUGAGCUGACCGAUACUAAUUGCUCGUGAAGCUUGAUCCU
Molecule: ribosomal RNA, 985 nt
Filed under: human gut metagenome
Description: bacterial LSU rRNA
Rfam family: Bacterial large subunit ribosomal RNA
Source: RNAcentral